This is a long non-coding RNA of Cyprinus carpio carpio, 847 nucleotides long. NCBI's taxonomy places the organism in Eukaryota, Metazoa, Chordata, Actinopteri, Cypriniformes, Cyprinidae. The record is from Ensembl.
UAGAAAUACUGUAAUCUAGUAUUCCAAAUUUUGUUGUAAUAAUGAUUUUAUUAAUUUUAUGGCCCCUGUGUGUUUUCUAGGGAGUCAAGCCUGGUCCUGUCAAUAGAAUGCUGGUUCUGUCUGCAAGACCAAAAGAGAGGAAGCUUGCUGAGGGGUUAAGCAGUACGCUUUACAAGGGUGUCACCAGUGAGCUGCCUGACCUCUCAGUCCUCCAAGUAGCAGAGGCAUAUAAGGACUUUUCCAGUGCUGUAGCCCCUUUGGUCACCACUAUCGAGAUGUCGCAUGAUGAUCCUUUGGUUGAUUCUGCCUUGCCACUAGUUGGUAACAGCCUUGACACAUCUGUUUGCCUGUUUGUCCAUAGUGAACAUGGACAACUACACAUGAAGUCACUGGCAGUAAGUUUGGAUAUGGCACACAAGAUAGAGCAUGCCACCAGCCCCGGGUAACAGCGUCACGUUUUAGGGAGGUUUGUCAUGUGCGUGGCCAGAGCUCAGCUGAACACCUGGCUGAAAGAAUCUACAAGGGAACUCGUCAGACAGCAGACAUGAAGAGAGGUCUUGAAAUGGAAUCUGCAGCAAUUGAGGAAUACUGUCUGUUGCGAGAAGUAAACUACCACCCUUGUGGAUUCUUAAUUCACCCCAAUGCACCUUGGCUGGGGGCCUCUCCUGAUGGGAUUAUUUUUGACCCUAAAGAGCACCAUGUUUUUGGUCUUUAGAAAUCAUAUGUCCAAAUGUCAAAAGUUACGUGGACUGUCCUUACCUUAAAUUUAACAAUGGCACACCAGAGCUGAAACAACAACAUGCAUACUAUUGGCAAGUUCAAGGACAAAUGCUGAUCUCAGGAUUGG